CGUGGAGACAGGUGGUGCAUGGCUGUCGUCAGCUCGUGUCGUGAGAUGUUGGGUUAAGUCCCGCAACGAGCGCAACCCUCACCCCUUGUUGCCACCGGGUUAUGCCGAGCACCCUAGGGGAACUGCCAGCGUCAAGCUGGAGGAAGGCGGGGAUGACGUCAAGUCAUCAUGCCCCUUACGCCCUGGGCGACACACGUGCUACAAUGGCUGGUACAAAGGGAUGCAAGACCGCGAGGUGGAGCUAAUCCCAAAAAACCGGUCUAAGUUCAGAUUGCAGUCUGCAACUCGACUGCAUGAAGGAGGAAUCGCUAGUAAUCGCGCAUCAGCACGGCGCGGUGAAUACGUUCCCGGGCCUUGUACACACCGCCCGUCACACCACGAAAGCCGGCUGUACUCGAAGUCGCUGAG
RNAcentral lists this ribosomal RNA (408 nucleotides) under uncultured Methylomirabilota bacterium. Its description in RNAcentral is "bacterial SSU rRNA". It matches the Rfam family "Bacterial small subunit ribosomal RNA", at positions 1027 to 1434 of the family's 1533-position model. Lineage: Bacteria; Methylomirabilota (SeqCode). The record is from RNAcentral.